Molecule: ribosomal RNA, 253 nt
Filed under: uncultured bacterium
Lineage: Bacteria
Description: partial 16S ribosomal RNA
Rfam family: Bacterial small subunit ribosomal RNA
Source: RNAcentral
UACGUAGGUUGCGAGCGUUAAUCGGAAUUACUGGGCGUAAAGCGUGCGCAGGCGGUUUUGUAAGCCAGAUGUGAAAUCCCCGGGCUCAACCUGGGAAUGACAUUUGGGACUGCAAGGCUGGAGUGCGGCAGAGGAGACUGGAAUUCCCGGUGUAGCAGUGAAAUGCGUAGAUAUCGGGAGGAAUACCGAUGGCGAAGGCAGGUCUCUGGGCUGACACUGACGCUCAUGCACGAAAGCGUGGGGAGCAAACAGG